RNAcentral lists this ribosomal RNA (1424 nucleotides) under uncultured organism. RNAcentral's name for it is "SSU rRNA". It matches the Rfam family "Bacterial small subunit ribosomal RNA". The record is from RNAcentral.
GGCGUGGAUAAGACAUGCAAGUCGAACGAGAGAAUUGCUAGCUUGCUAAUAAUUCUCUAGUGGCGCACGGGUGAGUAACACGUGAGUAACCUGCCCCCGAGAGCGGGAUAGCCCUGGGAAACUGGGAUUAAUACCGCAUAGUAUCGAAAGAUUAAAGCAGCAAUGCGCUUGGGGAUGGGCUCGCGGCCUAUUAGUUAGUUGGUGAGGUAACGGCUCACCAAGGCGAUGACGGGUAGCCGGUCUGAGAGGAUGUCCGGCCACACUGGAACUGAGACACGGUCCAGACACCUACGGGUGGCAGCAGUCGAGAAUCAUUCACAAUGGGGGAAACCCUGAUGGUGCGACGCCGCGUGGGGGAAUGAAGGUCUUCGGAUUGUAAACCCCUGUCAUGUGGGAGCAAAUUAAAAAGACAGUACCACAAGAGGAAGAGACGGCUAACUCUGUGCCAGCAGCCGCGGUAAUACAGAGGUCUCAAGCGUUGUUCGGAAUCACUGGGCGUAAAGCGUGCGUAGGCUGUUUCGUAAGUCGUGUGUGAAAGGCGCGGGCUCAACCCGCGGACGGCACAUGAUACUGCGAGACUAGAGUAAUGGAGGGGGAACCGGAAUUCUCGGUGUAGCAGUGAAAUGCGUAGAUAUCGAGAGGAACACUCGUGGCGAAGGCGGGUUCCUGGACAUUAACUGACGCUGAGGCACGAAGGCCAGGGGAGCGAAAGGGAUUAGAUACCCCUGUAGUCCUGGCAGUAAACGGUGCACGCUUGGUGUGCGGGGAAUCGACCCCCUGCGUGCCGGAGCUAACGCGUUAAGCGUGCCGCCUGGGGAGUACGGUCGCAAGAUUAAAACUCAAAGAAAUUGACGGGGACCCGCACAAGCGGUGGAGUAUGUGGCUUAAUUCGAUGCAACGCGAAGAACCUUACCUGGGCUUGACAUGUAAUGAACAACAUGUGAAAGCAUGCGACUCUUCGGAGGCGUUACACAGGUGCUGCAUGGCCGUCGUCAGCUCGUGUCGUGAGAUGUUUGGUUAAGUCCAGCAACGAGCGCAACCCCUGUUGCCAGUUACCAGCACGUGAAGGUGGGGACUCUGGCGAGACUGCCCAGAUCAACUGGGAGGAAGGUGGGGACGACGUCAGGUCAGUAUGGCCCUUAUGCCCAGGGCUGCACACGUACUACAAUGCCCAGUACAGAGGGAGCCGAAGCCGCGAGGCGGAGGAAAUCCUGAAAACUGGGCCCAGUUCGGACUGUAGGCUGCAACCCGCCUACACGAAGCCGGAAUCGCUAGUAAUGGCGCAUCAGCUACGGCGCCGUGAAUACGUUCCCGGGUCUUGUACACACCGCCCGUCACAUCAUGGAAGCCGGUCGCACCCGAAGUAUCUGAAGCCAACCGCAAGGAGGCAGGGUCCUAAGGUGAGACUGGUAACUGGGAUGAAG